AAACCCUUUGGAAACCGUUGCCCCCGACCUCCCAUCUCCUCCCCCGAAACCCUCUCCUUGCCCUCAACGCCGGUCGGGCUAGAGUUCAGCAUCCUCAUUCGGAGCGACAGCGACACGGCCGGCACGGAUGAGGACGAGGAUGCCACGCCGUCGCCUCCUCCUUGCCACUGCCACCAGCAGCAGCUCGUGACCCGCGAGCUGUUCCCGGCCGGCGCCGGCUCGCCGGCCCCAGCGCCGAGGCAUUGGGCCGAUCUCGGCUUCUUCCGCGCCGACCGACAGCAGCAACAGGCGCCGGGCCCUAGGAUCGUGCCGCACCCACAUGGCGCACCACAGCCCCAUCGCCGCCAUGAUCCUUAUUUCUGUCACCGAUUGCUUCCGACCCUCAUUAAUUUCUGACACAAACUCUCCGUCCUCCUUUUCUUCUCCCGCGACGCAGGGAUUGCGGCAAGCAGGUAUCUAGGUGGAUUCGACACCGCUAACGCCGCUACAAGACACGCACUGGACUGGACCCCUAGAAUUCUUCGUCAUGUGAGUCUCUGACCGGAUUGAUUGAUUGAUUAACGAGUCUCUCGCUCCUGGAACUCGCAGGGCGUACGACCGGGCGGCGAUCAAGUUCCGCGGCGUGGACGCCGACAUCAACUUCAACCUCAGCGACUACGAGGAUGACAUGAAGCAGAGUACAUCAUAUUUGACAUUCUCGAGGCACAGAGUGUAGAGUAUAGCAUGAAGGUUUCUUUUCUUGAGCUGUACAAUGCGGAGCUUACUGAUCUUCUAGCUGUACAAUGAGAUUGCAAGAACGGGACUGCUAAGCAAGCUAAGAUUUCAAUGGCCUAUUCCUUCAUACAUAGGCCAUUGAACCGAAAAAUUUUGUCGGUAUUCGGUAACUAUAGGAUCAUGUGGUUGUUGGUCGAGUUGGACCAAUUAUGCUGGCUCAUUUGUUGGAUGUUUUGACAAGUCGAUUCUAGCUUCCUUAUGAUCUAUGUUAGAUUUGGUAAUGCAUACCAGUUAGUAAAGCAUUUAUGAUGUACAUUGUUAUACAUAGAGCUUUACAUCGCAAAAAUUAUGAGUUUCCCUCAGUUACGAUAUGCAUUUAGUAUUUAUCGUAUUUUGAAAAUUAAUAACCUAUUAUACUAUGAUAGGCUUGACUUCAUGUUUAUCUAAAUAACUUAGUGUGAUGAUGCUUGAAAACUCAUCUUCCAUUUUGCCAGAUCAAUGAAUAAAAGGAUUAUUCAUAUCAAUGUCCAUGCACCUUCUCAGAAAAUCCUUUUGUGUUGUUGGUGUUGGUUUCCUGGACCUGUACUGGUACAUAUGCUAAGUCAUCCACAAAUCUAACCCAGAAUUGUAUCGUUCUUUUUAUAACCAUGUUUGGUACUUGUUUGAGUGCUCCAUAGUUCGCAAGUUUGUUUUGUUAUGAUGUAUUUUGACAUUUGAAUCUCAGACAUGCUUAGGAACUACUGAUUUGAAUUUAUGGGCUAACAGUUCCAGUAUUUCAAAUAGAAAGUAUGCUAUAUCAAAUAAGUUGAUGAUACUUUAUGGGCUAACAGUUCCAGAAUUUAUGGGCUAACAGUUCCAGUUAUGAUGUACUGGAGAAUGAAGUUAGACUGCAUUUGAUAUUAGAAGUCUGAUAUUAGAAGUCUGUUUGUCUGAUUGUAGUUGAUUAUAAAGAAGCUAGAGCUGAUAUUAGAAGUCUGAUAUUAGAAGUCUGUUUGUCUGAUUACAGUUGAUUAUUUAGAAGCUAGAGCUUCCAGUCAAGUUUGAUAUUAGAAGUCUUCUUUUGCUUUUACAUUUUGUUUUUUUAUGAUCUUGAUCUUAGAAGCAGGGUUUUGGUACCAGCUUAACUAAUUUUCUGAAGUUUUAUGUUCUUACUUUAAUUAUAACUAGCUGAUUGCAAUAAGAUAUCAUCAGGCACGCCGAGGAGAACAGGGGCCUCCUCUCCGCCUCCUCCUUCGACAGGCAGCAGCUGCGGAAGGAGGUGGUGAGGAGGGUCAAGGCCGCGGCGGCGGGACGUGAGUGAAGUGAGCUUUGUCGAGCCUGUAUGUGGAGGUCGGCUGUGAAGCUGGGACUAGGACAAGGGCGAGCUGAAGGCUAGAAGCUGUAAAUGCACCCUUCAAGAGUCUUCAUAGGCCAAGUCUCUACUGGAAGGAAACAGUGGGCGAUGAAAGCAGGGAAUUUGGGAGGUACAUGCGACAGAGAGAAGAGCAAGAGAAGCAGGAAGCAGAGUUGUUCACUCGGGCUCCUGUAACCAAACAUGAUAAGCAGAUCGAGAAGCGCAUAAGGAGACAACUUCAUGGGUAUGUUCAGAUAGUUUAUCUUUUGUUGCUUAUUGUCUGUGUAAAUACACAAUCGCCUUUGAUAGCACUUGGUUUGCCCGUUGAGAUUUUCAGCUUGUCUUAAUAUCCAACUUACAACACCAUCUAAUAUUUGAUCCCGACAACAGGCUAGAUAUAUUGUUUCUAAAAAGUGAUUUUUGAUGAAAACAAAAACCUAUGUGCAAACGACUGAAUGUCAAAGUCCUUUCUUCCAUUUUUACCGUGGAGCUGACAGGAUGUUUAGAACUAUUGUUUUAGCUGAUUUUUGUAUUGCUCAGAUCCUAACAAACUUUAUGAUAAUUUGCUUGUUAGGAUCAGCAAACAAUCUACCAAUGGUGGAUUCCAUGCUUAGAAAUGCUUGUACCGUUAGGAUUAAUCUAGGGUUUAUGCAAAUCUGCCCACUGUGGAUCACAUGUUUAGAAACACCAUUAUUAUUAUGGAUAAUAUAUGGUUUUUGAGGAUUUAGCUGUCUAAAGCUGAGAGGGUUGGAGUUGGACUUGCUCUCUCAAAAAUUUUGAGAAUCCAGACUUGAACCUGGAAGGGAGAAAAUUUACAAUUGCUCAAAUUAAGGAAUCCAAACAUCAACAUGAAUAUAUAUACGCAGCUUGGAGACUAGGAUGAGUUCCAUCCCUAUACCAUCUUGCUUCGCUAGAGCAAUGCCAGGCGCACCGGCCUCACGGAGGAGUGCUCAGCUGGUUCUCGUUUUGACCUUGCUCUAGAGGACAUUGCUGAAGGGAAGGUGACGGUGCAAGAAGCCAUCAACCCUUUUUUCUGAAUGGGUUAUUGGUGCAGACUGAUUUAGGAGGGUUUUUAUUGCCAUUGUUCUGAUUUGCUGCUCCACAUAAAAAGCCAAUUGGAAAGGUACCAUUGUUUUCCCGUGCUUGCUACAACAUGUUUGUUAAACUGUUGAUGUGUACUUAUGUGCCAAAUAUUCAAAUAUGUGGUCCGUUAGAUUAUUUAGUGUUUACAUGUUGAGGAGCUACCUACGGUGGCAUCAAUUGUUGCUUAUGAUUUGCUCCCUAGAGGCCUUAAAGGUAAAAACCAUUAGCCCUAAGGAAUUAUCUCUGGCAUAUGAACCAUAUCAAGUUGACAUUCCUUUUUUCUAAUUUUCUUGUUAUUAAUAUGCCUGGUUACCUGCACAAUUCAUUGGGUUUCAUCAUUAUCUUGAUAUUGGUGUGCAUUUAAAAUACUUGAUCGAUCUCUGUCCAAGUGCUACAGGCUGCAUCCCAGGUGCUCGAUGAAAUGCCUAAAGGGCUACAACAAUAGUAAUUCACUAGCUAGCUCCAGCGAAGCUGCCAUAUGGUACCAUGGAGGCACCAACUUCGACAAGACCUUCGGUGGGUCGUUCAUCGCCACUGGCUAAUGCGCCGAUCGACGAAUACGUCCGCUGAGGCAGCCGAAAUGGGUCUCCUAAGGGACCUGCACAAGGCCAUCAAGCAAACCGAGCUGGCGCUGAUCUCUGUCAACCACACAAUCCAAUCCAUCAGAAAAUACGAGAAGGUCAUCCAAAUUCUGUCAAAAAUGUAUCGAGUUCAAACUAGCUACUCAUGGACAUGACCAUCAACUCGAAUGAGCAAUUCUAAGUCUGGGCAGUGACCGCAGUUGAUCAUCUACUCUGCUAGCCAGUCCAUACAUGUGUUCGUCAACGACCAGUCCUAUGAGUUCUUCAACAACAGGCAUCGUAUAUGGUGGCUACAACAGUCCCAAGCUAACAUAUAGUGGGCAUGUGAAGAUGUGGCAAGGCAGCAACAAGAAAUUCAGAACCAGGCGACCUCCAUUGCCUCGCUCUUUACAAAUUCCAAUUGGUUUAAUUUGCAUUUGACUAGGACAAAGCACUAAAUGAUGGUUUGGUGCAGGCUCAAGCAUGAAGCAUCACUUAUGCGUGAUGAUAAGGUUCAAUAUCAAUUGCAUGUCGCGGAGAUGGAGGCAGUUAGCGUUGCAAUGCCUCCUGUUUAUGUAAAUCACGGUAAUGAUGGUGGGCCAGCUGUUAAGGAUAUACAUAUGGAGAACUUUAGCAUCACUAUUGAUCUAAUUCAAGAAGCCACUUUAACAAUCUUAUUUGGAAGGCACUAUGAUUAUAAAUGUUAGUGGUUGUCCAAGUUUCCACAUGUGUGUCGCGUAAUCUCACACAUCUUCAAGGUUUGUGGACUCAAGUGGUCUUAUGACAAUUGCUAGCUUGCAUCCAGAGGCAAUGAGAAAGGAGUAAGAUGUCUGUUGAUAUGUUUCUGUUAGUUUGGAAUGCACUAUUAUUAGGACUCUACACUGUUGUUUUCCCAUACUAAUGGUUCCCCUUGUCUAGCUUUUUGAUUGGAAUCCACAUUCAGUACAACCAGUACUGAAGUAUACAAGCACACAACAGAUGUCAAAGCUAUUGCCAUUUGUAAAAAAAAUUGUUGGGCAUUUUUUCUGUAUCUUACAUAAUGAUCUUUUUUCCUU
Molecule: long non-coding RNA, 4745 nt
Organism: Zea mays
Lineage: Eukaryota; Viridiplantae; Streptophyta; Magnoliopsida; Poales; Poaceae
Exons: 15
Source: RefSeq, a predicted model, not a curated record